GUCAGAUACGGUGCCGGGUGCCUGUAAUCCCAGCUACUCGGGAGGCUGAGACAAGAGGAUUGCUUGAGUCCAGGAGUUCUGGGCUGUAGUGUUCUAUGCUGAUCAGGUGUCUGCACUGAGUUUGGCAUCAAUACAGUGACCUCCUGGGAGUGGGGGGCCACCAGGUUGCCUAAGGAGGGGUGAACUGGCCCGGGUCAGAAACGGAGCAGGUCAAAACUCCCAUGGUGAUCAGUAGUGGGAUUGUGUCUGUGAAUAGCCACUGCACUCCAGCCUGGGUAACAUAGCAAGACCCCAUCUCUA
Otolemur garnettii (small-eared galago) is the source of this 300-nucleotide non-coding RNA. The record is from Rfam. NCBI's taxonomy places the organism in Eukaryota, Metazoa, Chordata, Mammalia, Primates, Galagidae.